Suricata suricatta (meerkat) is the source of this 244-nucleotide long non-coding RNA. RefSeq lists it as uncharacterized. The transcript is spliced from 3 exons. The record is from RefSeq and is a predicted model, not a curated record. Lineage: Eukaryota; Metazoa; Chordata; Mammalia; Carnivora; Herpestidae.
GGGAAGACGGAAGUGACACAACUCUGUGGUCUCUAAGUCUUUGAAAGGCUGGUGCUGGCCGGGGCUUAGGUUUGGUUCCAGGAUUCAUACUCCUCCAUGCAGCAAGGAGAUUCAGGAAAAGCUGGCUGAGCCAAACUUCAGAGAUGUUGCCCCAAAAUACUGCUUCCACAAGGCACAUGCUGCAGGGAGAUGGAAGGAAGGACCUUGACCCUUGAAAGCUCAUUGAGCUGCUCAGGAAACCAAA